UUCUUCCAUUUUCUUUAUCAUUGUGUUUCUUACCAUCUGUUUGGGAAAUUAGAGAGCCGAGUGAAUUCCCAUCUCCCAAGAAUUUUCCCCAAAACCCCUAAAGCCUUGUAAUUGGAGUUGAUUUAUGCAGGCGAUAACAUAUUCGGAUUUGACGCCAAAGAUGCAGUGGCGUCUUUGAAUGCUGCAUUCGCACCUGCACUAUCAUCAAACAUACCCUGGGCUGCUGUUCUCGGCAACCACGACCAGGAAUCCACUCUCUCAAGGGAAGGGGUGAUGAAAUAUAUAGUCGGCAUGAAACACUCCCUGUCUCAGUUGAAUCCCCCCGGGGUUAACAUUAUUGAUGGUUUUGGGAACUAUAAUCUGGAGGUUAGCGGGGUUGAGGGUUCUAGUUUACAUAACAAAUCAGUUCUCAAUCUCUAUUUCCUGGAUAGCGGGGAUUACUCCACGGUUCCCUCUAUCUUUGGCUAUGGCUGGAUCAAACCCUCUCAGCAAUUUUGGUUUCAGCGCACUUCUAAGAAGCUUCGGGUACUAAUUUUGCGUUUUCCGAGAGCAUUUUUCCCAUUUCUAUGGUCCUCACCAUGCCCAUUCAAUUGGGUAUUCCGUAGCCUCAAGUAGAAUUAUCAUAGAUUUUAUGCCUUAUAAGCCAUAACUCUGUUCAUUUACCACUGCCCUUUCUAAUGCAGAGAGCAUACAUGAGCAAUCCGGAGGGUCAGAAAUCAGCUGCACCAGGUCUAGCAUACUUUCAUAUCCCGUUGCCCGAAAGUGCGAGUUUUGACUCAUCAAACUUCACGGGUGUAAAACAAGAAGGCAUCAGCUCUGCUUCUGUGAAUUCAGGCUUCUUCACAACCAUGGUGGAAGCAGGGGAUGUGAAGGCUGCGUUCACUGGACAUGAUCAUGUCAAUGACUUCUGUGGAGAGCUACUUGGUAUACAUCUUUGCUAUGCUGGAGGGUUCGGGUACCAUGCCUAUGGGAAAGCUGGAUGGGCGAGGAGGGCUCGGGUUGUGUUGGCAACUUUGGAAGAAAGGGAGAAGGGAGGGUGGGGAGAAGUUAAGUCUAUCAAGACGUGGAAGCGGCUUGAUGAUAAACACCUUACUGUUAUCGAUGCUCAGGUCCUCUGGAGCAAGACCUCUGCUGGUAAGCUUCUACUCAAGUACCUUCUUGGUCACACUCUUGCAUUGGUCUUUUUAGCUUGUUAUAGUGGAGAGCAAUCAGCUCUGGAACAUCUAAGAAGUGUGUUUCAUAUCAUCCUGUCUGCAUCUGUCUCUUCCAAUUGCCUGAUUUUAAUGGAUCAUUCAGUGGUAUCCUGUGGAAACUCAAUGGUUUUCUAGUAAAAUACUUCAUAUUAUCUUUGAAAAGAGACCAUACAUGCAGAUAAUUUCUGUGCAAGUGUUUUCACAUCUGCCUUGGUGAUGCCAGAACAUAAUGAUCUUAUUUUCAUCUUCUUUCCUGGCCUCCACUAGAUGGUCGAGAUAUAAAUGAAUCAAGGAUUCUCCUACUUCAUUUAUUUUUUCACCCACUAUGGCAAAAUCUGUUUGCCCACCAACUUCACAUCACAAUUCAUUUUCUUUUGGGAUCCCUGUGUGAAUCACCUUGUAUCAGUGUUCUUGUUGUAUGGAUUUAUGAGUUUUGUGAUAUUCUCCUAUCUCAUUCACUGAAUUGAUUUGCCAAACACACCAAAAAUAAAUGUUGCUAAUUUUUCUAAAAAAUUAUCAUAACUGCCAUCAGGUGUAUGCCAUUUGCCUAAUCAAUCAUUUUUUUUUUCUCAAAGUUAACAUUUGAAUCUGUUUUCCAUUCCAUGCCAUCAGAAUGCUCACAUUUACUCUUUAUUUUUGGUUUGCAUUGAACAGGAAGCCGUAGAAAGAAAAAGAUUGGUGGCAUUUAAGUGAUUAACACGUAUUUGCAGCAAAGAUAAGCCAUCAACUUAGCUGUGAGAAAGUAAGCUUCAAAUAUCAGUUCAAAGGAAUCUUCUCUUGAUGUUGUUUUAUAGUUUUAUUUCAAGGACUUGUAUGUCUAAGACAUAAAGAAAACACAUGAGUAUUUUACAGGACAAUAAAUGAAAAACUAUUAUAAAGGAAGUUAAAGAUAUCAUCAGUAAUCAGUAAGUGGAUGUCAUCUAAUUGCAAUUCAUGCACGGUAGUUUUGUCAAAGAACCUUUUGAUGCAUGAAUGAUUAGAGAACAUAGUCCACAAAGUUGAGAAACUUCUUUGAUUCUUAAUAGUUCAUGCAAUGUACUAUUCAGUAUCAUUACCAUCCAAAACCUGUUCAUCCUCAACUUUCUCAGACUGCAGACUAGAAGAAUGGACAACUAGAUUGACUUUCAUCUCCUAACAACCUACAAAUAGUCAUAAAUCAAGACAAUAUCAGGAGCUUAAGUUUAGCUCUUGUCAGAGCUUGGUCAUGUACACAAUUUAAGCCAAAAAAAGGCUGUUGGGAGUAUAAAGAACUGGGAUAAAAACUAAAACAAGGCCAAAAUCUCUGCAAAAAUGAUCAUUUUGAAUAAUCAAGAAGCCACAUAUGUUUUUGAGGACUACUAAUAGUUGCAGGUGGACUCCAAAAAUUUUGUUUGGUGAUAGGAGUUUUGGUUCUGGAGCACUGAAAGAAACUUGAACCAUUGGAUGAAGUAUCAUAUUUCAUGUCUUUUAUGCAGAGUAUGUAGAUGAAGAAAGAUUUCAAGUUAUUGGAUCAUUCUUGUAAUCAGACACUUGUGGUGGUGAUCCAUUCCCAAAUUCUCUCUAUUAUGUCAUAACCUGAAACGUGGAAGAAAGAAAACCAAGUGAUCAUUCUUAUUCUUACAAGUUGGUUUUGGGGCUUAAUAUGCCAUCUACCAACUGGUUCAACAGAAGUCCAAACUUUCAAUUUGAUUGUGAUUGUCACUAUUGAGUUGUUGUUUGAUUGUUCAAAUGACAUACAUGAAAUGGCUCUUUGCCAUGAACAAUUGAUCGGGAAGUUUUCUGAACAAUGGUUCAAAACUAUAAUUAUGGUCAGAUUAUUUUGUUAUUAUUGGAAUGUUCACAUAUAUGGUUAAUUUUGAUACAGCAGUCCAUCGGCUUUUAGAUUUACAUUUAUAUUGUGCUGUUGGAUAAUGCUAUAUGAUCUGUUUUGGUGAAUUCCAUACAGCUAAAAAUGAUUGACUUCAAAUCACCAUUCUUGACCAGCCAAUAUCACACUGAGCCCCCGAGAAUUUCAAACAGGUUCUUCAAAUUCACGAGUUCCUGCAAGAACAUUCCCAGAAAGUAUUUUCCGUUUUAACUAUGAUAAGGUGAUCUGUGAUGAAAUCGAGUGUCAUAUGUCUAAAUAACAAAAUCCAUUUACCAAGGGGUACAUUGUAAGAAUGAAAAAGAAAUAGAAUUAAAACCUUUCUACCUGCUCUAAUAUUCAAAAUAUAGUCAUAUAUUCAUCUGUUAACCCUAAAUCAUGGUUAUACAACAGGAUUUGUUUUCGAUUGAUGUGUAUUUAUUAUGCUGAUUUAUUGACCUUGUUCCUUCAUUUCGUCUUUUUUUUUCCCUUCUUAUUUCCUUUUUUCUAUGACUACAUUUCAAUUCUUAGAUUAUUAACAGUACAUCAAAGUUUUCAUCUGCUUCGACAUUUGUUCAACAAAAUAGUGUUGAGGACAUUAGCAUUUCCCUAAGGCUACAUCUGGUUUCAUGAGAGUUUGAGAAAAAGAAAAUAGGAAGGAAAAACAUAAGAAAAAGGAAAAGAAAAUUUACAAUAUUUUUACGUUGUUUGGUUGUCUGGCGAAAAGUUUUAGGAAAACAAAAUUAAGGUUAUAUUUGGUUUCUGGAAAGUAUUAAGAAAAAAAAGUUAAAAAAAAUGAUUUUCUCAUACUCAAUCGCAUUAUUGAAUAAAUGAAAAAAAAUCAAAUAUCAUUAAAAUUUUCCUUCCUUGUUAGAAAACGAUAAAUUUUUCGGUACUUUUGUAAAUGAUAGGCUCAUUGGGAUCAUAUAAAUUUUAAACACCACGACUCAAGUGAGCAAGAGUGGUGGACUCUGCGAGUUGACGGAGCCUCACGCUCAUCAGGCUCCGGAGUGGGGCUCGUACUACAGUCCCCAACUGGGGAACAUCUGGAGCAAGCCAUCCGGCUGGGAUUCUCUGCAUCUAACAAUGAAGCAGAAUACGAGGCUAUCCUGUCCGGAUUGGACCUCGCUCUUGCUCUAUCCGUCUCCAAACUCCGGAUCUACAGCGAUUCACAACUCGUGGUAAGACAUGUCCAGAAGGAAUAUGAGGCCAAGGACGCAUGCAUGGCGCGAUAUUUGGCUAAAGUAAGAAACACCUUGCAAUAAUUCACCGAAUGGACAAUCGAAAAAAUCAAGCGAACUGACAAUGGGCGCGCUGACGCCUUGGCUGGCGUAGCUGCUUCCCUCCCAAUCAAAGAAGCCAUUCUAUUGCCUGUACAUGUGCAAGCCAAUCCCUCUGUCGAAGAAAUCUCCGCUUGCAACACCAUUGAGGCAAAUCAAGCAGACGAUCAAGAAUGGACGUAUAACAUUGCAGAAUAUCUCCGGACAGGGAUUCUACCCGGAGAUACUAAACAGGCGCACAAAAUCCGGGUGCAAGCUGCCCGUUUCACACUGAUUGGGGGGCACCUGUACAAACGAUCCUUCACGGGACCUUACCUUCGGUGCUUAGGGCAUUCAGAGUCCCAGUAUGUGUUAGCUGAAUUGCAUGAGGGAAUAUGCGGAAAUCAUUCCGGAGGACGAUCUCUAGCACAUAGAGCUCAUUCGCAAGGAUACUAUUGGCCAACAAUGAAGAAAGACGCGGCAGCAUAUGUCCAGAAAUGUGAUAAAUGUUAAAGUUACGCCCCCAUUCCACAUAUGCCAUCAGCAAUGUUGAAGUCAAUCUCAGGCCCAUGGCCCUUUGCGCAGUGGGGCAUGGACAUAGUAGGACCCCUUCCAGCAGCACCUGCCCAGAAGAAGUUCCUCCUUGUUGCCACUGAUUACUUUAGUAAAUGGGUAGAAGCCGAAGCAUAUGCUACCAUCAAAGACAAAGAUGUCACCAAGUUCGUGUGGAAAAACAUUGUUUGUCGUUUUGGAAUGCCCCAAACUAUUGUAGCUGAUAAUGGUCCACAAUUUGACAGCACUGCAUUUAGGAAUUUAUGUUCGGAACUAAACAUCCGGAAUUCAUACUCCACACGCAUUAUCCUCAAAGCAAUGGCCAAGCAGAAGCCACAAACAAGACCCUAAUCAAUGCCUUAAAGAAAAGGCAUGAACAAGCCAAAGGGAAGUGGGUGGAGGAGCUACCCGGCGUACUAUGGGCCUAUCGAACUACACCCGGACGACCAACAGGAAACACUCCUUUCGCCCUCGCAUAUGGAAUGGAUGCAGUCAUUCCUACUGAAAUCGGUCUUCCUACUAUCCGGACUGAUGCAACAAAACAAAAUGAUGCAAACACGGAAUUAGGGAGAAAUUUUGAUUGGACAAAUGAAGUGAGGGAAAAUGCAGCCAUCCGUAUGGCAGACUAUCAACAAAGGGCAUCAACGCAUUACAAUCGCAAAGUGAAGCCCAGAAGCUUCAAAAAUGGUACGCUAGUACUUAGAAAAGUUUUUGAAAACACUGCUGAAAUAGGCGCAGGGAAGUUACAAGCUAACUGGGAAGGACCCUAUAUAGUGUCUAAAGCAUGUGAAAAUGGAGCCUAUCAUUUACAAAAGUUAGACGUGAUGAUGCUUUUUAUUACCAUCAAAUAUCAUUUUUAUUUUCGAUUCAAAGCAGCAAUAGUUAUCAAUGAUGGAAAAGAUGAAGAACAGUUAAUGUUAUCAUUGUGUAAAUGAUAACCCAUUACACCAUCAGUGUGAUGUAUAAUAAGAUUUUAACAUAUAAUAGUUAAGAUUAAGCAUAACAGAUUUUAACGUUGAUAGAAUCAGUCUAUGAAAAUGUCAUUUAGCCAUAAUCUAAUUUUUUAUUACCAUUGGAGAUUGUUUCAACGUGAGUUUAUUUAUACUAUUAAUGAAACAAAUCCAUGUUUCAGGAAGAACAGUUAUCAAAGAUGUCAUUUCUAUCAAUAAUCUAAUAUGAGAUUCUAUGUAAAUAUCAUUUUUGAAAACACUGCUGAAAUAGGCCCAAUUUAUCAUUUGCCCGUGAAAAUUUGUAAAUAGAACCGACGAUGUCGUCGUAAAAUGAGAAACCAAAUGAAGAAAGAAUAAACUUCCAUAAAACCUAGAUGGUGUCUAAACGAUGAAAAACCAAAGGAUCAUGUCCCAAUGAUUAGUUAUAAAUGGAAAAAAGGAAUGAGCUUAGAUAGAACCUAGAAAGUUGUCCCAAUGACGAAAAACGAGUAGAGCAAAUAAAUGAACUUAGAUAAAAUUUAGAUGGCGUCCAGUAACAAAAAACAACAAGGAUGAAGAAUAAACAUAGAUAGAACCUACGAUGGUUUCUAAACAAUGAGAAAUUAAAGGAACAAAAUAUUAAGCUUAGAUAGGGCCUGUCCGCGUUCCAAUGAUCACAAACCAAGGUAAAGAAUAAAUGACCUUAGAAAGAACAUACGAUGUCCCAAAAUGAGAAAAUAUCUUAAUGAACUCGAUGUUGUUGAAGAUACUCUUGACUGGAAACAAUUCAAGAUGAUAUCACUGAUAGAAAUGUCUCCUUAAGAUUGAGUCCUCGGGAGGAUGAUGGAAAUUAGUGUUAUCAUUGUGUAAUAUUAUUACCAUCAAAUAUUAUAUUAUGGCUAAAUGACAUUUUCACAGACUGAUUCUAUCAACGUUAAAAUCUGUUAUGCUUAAUCUUAACAGAACCAGUUUCUAUAAGGACUGCUUCAUAAAACUCUCUUGUUUUUAAAAUAUCACCAGAGGGAUAAUGAAAAUUUUCUUGAAAAGCUUUUGCAGCAAUCUCUCUGGGGUUUUCAGAGAAAAAUUAUCUUUCAAUAACCAAAAGAGAUUGAUUUAAAUCAUUUUGCCAAUAUCUUGAUUUUGUUGAAAGAUGUGUGGGGUUGGCAGCCACCACAAUUUGUUUGCUUGAAAAAGAAGAACUUGUUGCUAAUUCCUUUUGAGAGGGAUUAGCCUUAGUAACCUGCUUAAAGGUCUGAGACCCUGAGGUAGCUGGAUAUUGUGUUGCCUUAACUGGUUUAGAAUGAUCAGAAGGAUCAUAGUAUAAGGUCAACAUUUUGUUAGACAUAUGACUGGAUUCAUGCAUAGGUUUAGAAGAAUGAAGCUUUGCCAAAAGUUGUGCUUCUUCCUCUUCAACUUGUUGACUCCAAAGCAUUUUAUGGGUAGAAGGAGAUUGGUUAGCUUGACUGGAUUGGGGCUUUUGAGAGCUAGAAGCUUGGGUAUUCUUUUUAGGGGCCAUGAUCUCAUGAACCCUGCAAAAUUCACGAGAUAGCUAAUUAGGGCUGAAAUAAUCUCCUUUAAUAAAGUAACUUUGAAACUUAGAUUUUAAAAUAAUAUACCAGUUAAUUAAAUCAUACUUAAAAGUUAUAUAUUUAAUUGUUUCAAAAUCUUUGAAAACAAUUUUUAAUAAAAAAUCUUGAUUCAAAAUCCCAAUUUGAAAUUUUGAAAUGCAUAAAGAAAUGCUUAAAAUAUCAUUUAUAAUGAGAUUAUGAAUGAAUUGGGUACUUAAAAUCUUAGGUGGAUCAUUAAUUCUAACAAGAUUAAUCUCUUGAUCACAACGAGUGAUGCUUUCAACAGGAUUAGCAAAUUCAAAAAGAAUUUCCUUAUCAAAAAGCUUAGUUCUUAUACCUUGGUUAUCUACCCACAACGGAUAAAUAGAACUUAAGAAGGGUAUUCCUAGGAGGGCUUUUUCAUUAAGAUCCUUAACACUGGGGCUUAGAAAUUAGUGACAGUUUUUCGGUACUCGAACGGAUUUUACCUUUUGUCGGUACUCGCCCGGAUUAAACAAUUUUUCGGUACUCAGACUGAUUCUACCAUUUUUCCGUACUAGUCCGGACAGUUUUUCGGCACUCGCACGGAUUCCACCUUUUGUCGGUACUCGCCCGGAUUCAACAAUUUUCCGGUACUCACACUGAUUCUACCAUUUUUUCGUACUGGUCCGGACAGUUUUAAGGUGCUCGCACGGAUUCCACCUUUUCCCGGUACUCUUUCGGAUUCAACAAUUUUCCUCUACUCACACUGAUUCUACCAUUUUUUCGUACUGGUCCGGACAGUUUUAAGGUACUAGCACGGAUUCCACCUUUUCCCGGUACUCGCCCGGAUUCAACAAUUUUCCGGUGCUCACACUGAUUCUACCAUUUUUCUGUAGUGGUCCGGACAGUUUUUCGGUACUCGCAUGGAUUCCACAUUUUGUAGGUACUCGCCCGGAUUCAACAAUUUUCCGGUACUCACACUGAUUCUACCAUUUUUUCGUAAUUGUCCGGACAAUUGUAAGGUACUCGCAUGGAUGCCACCUUUUCCCGGUACUCAUCCGGAUUAAACAAUUUUCCGCUACUCACACUGAUGCUACCAUUUUUUCGUACUGGUCUGGACAAUUUUUCGGUACUCGCACGGAUUCCACCUUUUGUCGGUACUCGCCCGGAUUCAACAAUUUUUCGGUACUCACACCGAUUCUACCAUUUUUCCGUAUUGGUCCGGACAGUUUUAAGGUACUCGCACGGAUUCCACCUUUUCCCGGUACUCGCCCGAAUUCAACAAUUUUCCGGUGCUCACACUGAUUCUACCAUUUUUCCGUAGUGGUCCGGACAGUUUUUCGGUACUCGCACGGAUUCCACCUUUUGUAGGUACUCGCCCGGAUUCAAACACUCUUGGUAUAAAGUCGAGCAAAACCAAGGAAAAUGAUGAGGUAGUAGCAAAUCUACAAUGCUUACUUUCAUUCUUUGGUAUCUAUGAAAUGCUGCAACUUUUUGAGGAAACACAAAUUGCAUUGAUGUAGAUACAUAGAAAUCCAUCACUCUAUGCUACAAAAAUAAAGGGAGCAAAACAAUUUGAGAACAAAUGCCACAAUUGUGCAACAUGUUGUGCAACCAUCACUUUCACCAGUGAUGAUGAAAAAAGCAUGACAUCAAAUUUUACCACAAUUGUUUUCAAACCUCGACAUUCCAAUUAUGCUCCUUAAAGCAUGAACCUAAAAUGCAUAUUGUUUCUAUCCUAUAAGAGCUUAAACUAUAGUAUUAAAAAAAAAAAAUCAAGCUUAUGGCAAAAAUAAAAAUAAAAAAAUCUUUUUUGACAAUCUUUUUAAACUAAGGAACAAACUCUUUGUAUUAAAGAAGUCAAAUUCAUAGAUUCUAAACUAAAAUCUCCAACUUCUCUAAAUAAAAGUGUUAUUUUCUUUUAACAUGACAAGUUCUCAAAAUGGCAAUGCAACCCAGAAGCUAAAUCCAAAAAUGAAGGUUCAAAAGUCAUGAUCAAACUCCAAACAUUUUUCAACAAGCUCGUGGAAGAAUAUCAAGCACCAUACAAAAUUGUCAUUCAUCCACCUUCAAAGCUAAAGAAAAUAAGGUUAGGUUCUUCAAAACACUUCAGGAAAUUAUUGAUAAGUUUACUUGAGAUUAGGUCAUCCUUGACCAUCAAUUAAACUUUGCUCCAAGAACACGUGUUUACUACCCUUGGAUUAAAGUCAAGUCUAAGCUCGACACAUUUUUCAACAAUCCUAUGGAAGAAUAUCAAACACAAUACAAAAGUGUCAUUCAUCCAUCUUCAAGGAUGAAAAUCAAGAUGAAUUCAAAGGACCUUAUUUUGUUCUCCAAAAUGCUUAAGAAAGGUCUUCACAAGUUUGGUUGAGAAUAAGUCAUCUUUGACCAUCAAUUAAACUUUGUUUGUGGAAUUGCCUAAGAUUAUAUCAGAAGAUCAAUUGACCGAUAUCCUCACCAAAGCUGUCUCAAGUCAAGUGUUCUCAAAAUUUUUAGAUAAGUUGGGCAUGUGUGACAUCUAUGCACCAACUUGAGGGGGAGUGUUAAGAUAUUAGAAAUGUUUUCCAUAUAUCAUUCUUUCCUUAUAUUAUUUAGUGUUGAGAUAUUAGGAAUGUUUAAAUAUUAGGAAAGUUGAGAUAUUAAGAAUAUUGAGAUAUUAGGAAUAUUGAGAUAUUAGGAAAGUUGAGAUAUUAAGAUAUUAGUUGUUAUUUCCUUAUAUCAUUCUUUCCUUGUAUCAUUCCUUCCCAUUCUUAGAAUGGUGAUUACCCUCUAUAUAUUCUCUGUACAUGAACGAAUGAAAGUAUGAAUGAAAAAACUAUCAUUUAUCAAUUUGAACAAAAUUCACUUUAUUGAGUUUAUCCUAAUAGUAUGAUGUUGAAAACUCAAGCCUGACUCACAUAUACCAAGUUGUUUACUUAGCUUGUUGAAUCGUGAAACAUGAAUCAUUCCUAUUGCGCUACAAAGGGGAUAUCAGGGGUGCUUGUGAAUUUUGUUUCUUAUAUUUGUUGAAUGAUGAGUUUGUCCUUAUUGUGUUUUUAACUCUUUUAUUAUUUAAGGCUUUGUUUUAGAGAGUACACUUGUGAAUUAGCGUUUAUCAUCAUAAUCCUUUACAAGAAAGUAAGCGGUGCAACUAGCUAAGUCCUUAGGCUUAUUUAAAUAAAGAUUCCAAUUGGACAAGUCAAAUUAAUCGGGUUAGAGAAAGAAGACAGGAUAAGAACCCUAACCCUUGUGUCAUAAGGCUGCAAAGGCACUAUCAAGGAGAGGCUUUUGAGAGAGAUACAGGUGAAGUGGAGCCUUUAAUGCUUGGAGUGCUCAUCACACAAAUAGGGGCUCAUCACACAAAUUUUAAACACUUUUACCCUAAACAGAUCAUAUAAAUUGAAUUGCUGAUAUGUCCACGGGCAAAUGAUCGCUGAAACUCGCUGAAACUCACACUAACAAAGAUCCAAUCCACCAUAGCGCAUUGGAUAUUGGUCUUCUAACUUACACUGGGGUACUUCUAGAGAACUCCAAGUCUCCAAGCAUACGCCUCUAUUUCAGGCAUGCCUAUUUGGUUCACUUCCAAGAGUAGCAUGUUAGAGACAUAUCAAAUACACAUACCCACGUCGUGCCAUGUAAAGGUACUUCACAUGUUGAAUAUUGUGUGCAACAUAGGUGGGAGCUGUGGGAUGUAACCCCCGAUCACAUCAACUUGGAAAACAGUUUACUAUGACAAUUUCCUUAAAGGUUCACUUUCUUAGUGUAGCAGAACAAAACGCCAACAGGUUGUUUCAUUAGUUGACUUAUAACCUAUUGAUGAAAUCUCUAAAAGGGAAAUCAGAGCUGUCUGUAUCUUCACGUGUUCUUUGUUGGAAAUGGGAAUAAAGAAUUAGAAUCUUCUCUUUGGGAUGUAAUAUCCAAACAAUGAAAAGAACGAUGAUGCCUAAGAAUCAUGGUUUGAUGCUUCUUCCAACAAUGUGUCCUUGUUAUAGACUAUAGACUCACAUGUGUUUGCAGCCUGCUAAUACCUAUGAUAAAAUCAUCAAUUGCAUCCUUUGAUUAUGACUAUGCAUCUUUUCCUGAGUUAGAAGAAUCUGCGAGAUCCGUGUCUCUCUCAAAGAUAUUACAGGCUAUUCCCUUCUUCAGCUCUGUCAUUCAUUUUCAAACUCCAUAUCAGUCGAGAGAAAAUUUGAUUGAUUUGCUAGACAAGGUAUUAUUUAUUAUAACAAUUUUUUAGGCCAUGUAUCUGUGCUAUGCACUAUGUGGAGUUGGCCGAACCAAGGCACACAAUUGGUAAAAAUUGGAGAGAAAGAGCAUGGUCCAACUGAUGUGAUUUAUGAAGCUUGAAUUUAUUCGAAGGAAAAUGCUUUGUUGCAAGAGUCACAAGCCAUGCCCAACUGGCAUGAGUUUAAUUAAGGGUCAUAUUCCUUUUCUUAGCCAUUGCUUGGUGUUCAGGUCACACGGAUGUUGGACCUCUAGAGUUCACAAGUAGGGGUGAUUAGGCAUACAGGCAUUCCAACCUAUUUUAGUGGAAGGAUGUGCUAUUUGUUUACAUCCAUUAGUUCAUAAGGGAUUCAAUGCAGAUUUUGAUGGGGAUCAAAUGGCUGUUCAUGUACCUUUAUCUUUGGAGGCUCAAUCGGAGGCUCGCUUACUUAUGUUUUCUCAUAUGAAUCUCUUGUCUCCAGCCAUUGGGGAUCCCAUUUCCGUACCAACUCAAGAUAUGCUUAUUCCUGUGCACACCACACAAACCGGCAACCCAUGAUCUUGAAGAGUUGAAAUCAAGCAAUUCUGUUUUGGUAAACUAAUUUUAUCAUUGCAUGCUUUAAAAGAUUGACCUGAUUAAGAGGAUUCAUUACAUACAAGGUAUAAGAAAGUUGCCUUAUUAUCACGUGUCAUUGGAUUAUAAGACUAGGCAAAUGGACAUCCUUACACACCAAAGAACAAUCUAAUACUAUUUUGUAAUGACUUGCUCUUUCCCGUGUAGAUAUUAUCCGUGCUAGAUCUAAUAAGUUAUCAUAAUUUAAAAAAGCGUGUACCUAAGAUUAAAGUGUCCACUGUUCAACACAGGAGAUCUUCCCUCUGAAGCCGGCAAUUGCCUGGUUGGGUGUUGCUAGUGACUAAUUUUCAAAUCAGUUUAGACUUCACAUAUUUUAAAUAAGAUGACUUGAGCUGUAUAGAAAAGGAGAUAUAUUUUCAUGCAUAGAUCCAAUCCUUCUCUUUUUUUUUUUUGGGUAGGAAUGUGGCAUGGUAUUGACAUUUUUGUUCCGACAUUGGGCUCGUGUGCUCGUGACAGACGACAGCGAGGGUACGAAGAGAGUAAAACAAUCACAGACUGCACAGGACAUGAAAAACUCAACGAGGCUAGCGUGUGCGUAUUACAAAGACAAGCAAAUUAGCUGGCGAGAAAUCUAACAGUUAUCUUCAAAUUCAUGAACUAUGGAGUUUGUGCACACUAGAAUACAACGUCAGCCACGCACAUGAAGCCAUUGAAAAGAGGGUUAGAUUUGUCUUUUGGGAAGUAAAGAAAAGAAAGGGAAUUUGAAGCCUUGUGGUACAAACUACUAAGUAACAAAGCAAGGGAUUGGGUUGUUGAAAGUUAAAACCUGAAGGUCAUACCUUUGUGCGAGCCACUUGAAUUGAAGGCCGUUGGAUCACAUGUGACAUGCCAUUGAUCUCUAAAGUUAAUCUUAUAAGUCCCUUGGACCCGUGGGAUGCUGCCUUGUCCUCAUGAGGAAUAUCUUUCCACGGGGACAUAAUAUAUCUCGAAAGCAUUAUUAACAAGACAAAGACAACAACGUCAUCUAUCCCAUUUGAAUUUAAGAUAGAUGCCUUUAUUUCAUGUACUUCUCUCACUUGCGACUUCCGGGAAGCUCUUGAGGUAGGAUUCAUCUCGUUGGACGUGGUUCGUUUCCUGCCUCACAUUGGAUUAAAUUACAUCAUUUCAAAUGAUAAGAUAUAAAUUAAAAUAUAAUUUAAUUAUUAAAUAAUUCUCUAAGUCUUACGGGAAAUUUCUUAAGUCAAUAUGAUCUUUUACACCUUCGAAAACCAUAAUAUAAUCAAUUUUCAUGUCUUUCGAAUUUAGAGUAAAUAAUAUCUAUAUGAUUCAAUAGGGAUCAAUAUAAAUAGUAUUAGAGUCAAUCCUCAACCUUGAUGUAGAGUUUUAUUUAACCUUAUGAGGGGUGUUUAUUUGUUUAAUUUCAUGAUAUAGUGAAAUAUAAUUAGGGAUCAUUAUAAAUAGUAUCAAAGUCAAUUUUCAACUCCGAUGUAAAAUUUUAUUUAAUCCUUUAUGGGGUGUUUGUUUGAUUUCAUAAUCCCGUGAAAUAUAAAUAGGAUUUUGUAUUUAUAUAAAAGAUGUUUGUAAUAUCUCCUAUUUUACGAUGAAAAAAAAUUUCUUAAUAUUAUAUAAAUAUAAACUCUUUCUAACUUGUUAAUGUUAAUAUGAUUAACCUUUUAUAUUUAUAAUUUAAUUCACCUGUUAAUUUGAAUAAAUCAAAUAUAGAUGGAAGAGAUGGAGAUUAUAAUUAGGAUAAUUAAUAUAAUGAUUAUUAAAUUGAUUUUCGAAUUAAAUAAUUAAAUUGGUUUCAAAACACAAAUUGAAUCUGAUUCCACACGAAUUUUAUCGAAAUAUGAUUGUACUCUAUCCAAGUGUGGCUUUUUCUUUUUGUUUUCCAAAAGCUAAAAAUAUAAUUUAUUUUAUUUUAUUUUAAAAUUUGGCCCAGUGCGGGCCCCGGGGGGCCAAGGCGACGGUCUGACAGCUAAGAGGAAUUAUUAAUUAAUGACUAAUACUAGUCAGCAGGGAGGUGGCGGAAUUAAUAACUAGUACUAGUUAGCAGGCAGGCGGCUGCGAGUGGUGACUAAUGCGAAGCAGUGGAGCAGUGGAGGAGGACCUAAUUGAACGUCAACUCUGAAACUAAAACCAGAGAAAGAAGGAGAAAAACAAUGGCACAGCCAUGGAAGAAGAAAACAUGUUACUGGAUGAAGGCGAUGCUUCUUGCUUUGUGGUUUUCUGGGAUCCAUGUGUUGGCUGAUGCGGCUGCAGCUGUUUCCAAGGAACAAAAUCAAUUGCGGUUCAGCAAGGAGGGGCAGUUCAAGAUACUACAAGUUGCGGACAUGCACUUUGGUGAUGGCAAGUCCACCCCUUGCAAGAAUGUUCUCCCUAAUCAGAUGCGCGGUUGCUCCGACCUCAACACUUCCGCUUUCAUUCAUCGCAUGAUCCAAGCUGAGAAGCCUCAUCUCAUUGUUUUCACGGGUAUUUUCUUCCAUUUUCUUUAUUAUUGUGUUUCUUACCAUCUGUUUGGGAAAUUAGAGAGCCGAGUGAAUUCCCAUCUCCCAAGAAUUUUCCCCAAAACCCCUAAAGCCUUGUAGUUGGAGUUGAUUUAUGCAGGCGAUAACAUAUACGGAAAAGACGCCAAAGAUGCAGUGGCGUCUUUGAAUGCUGCAUUCGCACCUGCGCUAUCAUCAAACAUACCCUGGGCUGCUGUUCUCGGCAACCACGACCAGCAAUCCACUCUCUCAAGGGAAGGGGUGAUGAAAUAUAUAGUCGGCAUGAAACACUCCCUGUCUCAGUUGAAUCCCCCCGGGGUUAACAUUAUUGAUGGUUUUGGGAACUAUAAUCUGGAGGUUAGCGGGGUUGAGGGUUCUAGUUUACAUAACAAAUCAGUUCUCAAUCUCUAUUUCCUGGAUAGCGGGGAUUACUCCACGGUUCCCUCUAUCUCUGGCUAUGGCUGGAUCAAACCCUCUCAGCAAUUU
This 15012-nucleotide long non-coding RNA is filed under the name Vitis vinifera (wine grape). RNAcentral describes it as "long non-coding RNA (VVIN_LNC005194)". Lineage: Eukaryota; Viridiplantae; Streptophyta; Magnoliopsida; Vitales; Vitaceae. The record is from RNAcentral.